GGUUGUAAAGCAACUUUCAGUUCGUGAGGAAGGGUAAGUGUAGUUAAUAGCUGCAUUAUUUGACGUUAGCGACAAGAAGAAGCACCGGCUAACUCCGUGCCAGCAGCCGCGGUAAUACGGAGGGUGCGAGCGUUAAUCGGAAUUACUGGGCGUAAAGCGCAUGCAGGUGGUUUUGUUUAAGUCAGAUGUGAAAGCCCGGGGCUCCAACCUCGGAAUUGCAUUUGAAACUGGCAGACUAGAGUACUGUAGAGGGGGGGUAGAAUUUCAGGUGUAGCGGUGAAAUGCGUAGAGAUCUGAAGGAAUACCGGUGGCGAAGGCGGCCCCCCUGGACAGAUACUGACACUCAGAUGCGAAAGCGUGGGGAGCAAACAGGAUUAGAUACCCUGGUAGUCCACGCCGUAAACGAUGUCUACUUGGAGGUUGUGGCCUUGAGCCGUGGCUUUCGGAGCUAACGCGUUAAGUAGACCGCCUGGGGAGUACGGUCGCAAGAUUAAAACUCAAAUGAAUUGACGGGGGCCCGCACAAGCGGUGGAGCAUGUGGUUUAAUUCGAUGCAACGCGAAGAACCUUACCUACUCUUGACAUCCAGAGAACUUUCCAGAGAUGGAUUGGUGCCUUCGGGAACUCUGAGACAGGUGCUGCAUGGCUGUCGUCAGCUCGUGUUGUGAAAUGUUGGGUUAAGUCCCGCAACGAGCGCAACCCUUAUCCUUGUUUGCCAGCGAGUAAUGUCGGGAACUCCAGGGAGACUGCCGGUGAUAAACCGGAGGAAGGUGGGGACGACGUCAAGUCAUCAUGGCCCUUACGAGUAGGGCUACACACGUGCUACAAUGGCGCAUACAGAGGGCGGCCAACUUGCGAAAGUGAGCGAAUCCCAAAAAGUGCGUCGUAGUCCGGAUUGGAGUCUGCAACUCGACUCCAUGAAGUCGGAAUCGCUAGUAAUCGUGGAUCAGAAUGCCACGGUGAAUACGUUCCCGGGCCUUGUACAACAACCCGCCCUCCAG
RNAcentral lists this ribosomal RNA (1000 nucleotides) under Vibrio azureus. RNAcentral describes it as "bacterial SSU rRNA". It matches the Rfam family "Bacterial small subunit ribosomal RNA", at positions 421 to 1405 of the family's 1533-position model. The record is from RNAcentral. Lineage: Bacteria; Pseudomonadati; Pseudomonadota; Gammaproteobacteria; Vibrionales; Vibrionaceae.